This is a long non-coding RNA of Macadamia integrifolia, 5050 nucleotides long. RefSeq lists it as uncharacterized. The record is from RefSeq and is a predicted model, not a curated record. The transcript is spliced from 4 exons. Lineage: Eukaryota; Viridiplantae; Streptophyta; Magnoliopsida; Proteales; Proteaceae.
ACCCCAUUUUUCUUGCAACCAAACGGAACAUAACGGUCUGAAGUGUGGAGACUGGACCACGGAGUGUUAUCUGCUCCAUUGGUCCACGAAGAAUGUGAAGAAGACGACCUAACCCAACUGCAAAUCCAGUGAGUCCGUGACCAGCUUCCACUCAACUCGGGUGACAGGUAAUGGCCGAAUGGCACAUACACACUAUUGCUCCUUCGUUCCCUCUCCUUCUAUCUGUUGUGUUGAGUUCGCAUCUGUCUCUCGCGCCUUUCUCUUCUUCUUCUCCUCUCUCUCUCUCUCCCACCGUGUAUCUGCAACUGGCCAACGACCACCUUCUGACCAGAGGUGGCUCUUGAAAGCUUGUGUUGAACCACCUCCUUUGGUAGCUGGUGGAGCUGGAAUUGCAGUGAAAGACAACACUGCCACCCAACCUUACAAAAUAUGAGUGAGAAUACUAAAUGAGCAACGAAGGAUGCAGUGUGCCAAUUCCAAGCUUCUUGAUACCCUUGGACUACUUGAAGUUGAUACGGGCUUUAGCAAAUGAAAACCAUGUUAGAUCUUCAGUUAUUCAUAAGAUGUCAUUGUUUGUCACGGAACAUUUUAGUCGUCAGACAUUCCAAUCUUAACCUUGUAAUGUUUUAAAAAUUCUUCAACAAAAUUCAGUUUUUCAUUUAUCAGAAGAGAGACCCCUUGCUAGUUGUUUACUUGUGUCUGAUAUUUCUGAUCAAGUCUAAUUAUCUGUGACUCUUUAAACUGAUUUCCAUUAUCUAGGUGAAUUUAGUUGGAUUGCUUUUCGAUUCUGCUUCCUUUAGGGUGUUUUGCUAUCGCUUCUUUGGCUUGCUCAUUUAUUUUCCGCCCUGCGCCGGGGGGGGGGUUAUCCAUAUAUGGCCCACCUAAUCCUCUUCAUGAAAGACCAUGCUUUGAUUGUGGUUCAUACCAUUUGGAAGCACUUCCUAUCACUGCAUAUAUGGAUGUUUCCUGUUAAGGUGGUGGGUUUGAUGUUGCAAAAACAGUCAGUUUGUUGGAUUUGUGAGGUGAAUUACUGGAAUUUUAGGAUCUGGGCUGUUGAUUUAACCAUUCAUCCAGCUUGAGAAACCGAGACCCUCCUUUUCACUCAAUUUUUGAAGUGAGAGUUCCAUGUUUUUGGGGUCCUGAGGUUUGGUGAGAUGGAAAGUCAUUUACUGAAACUCCCUUGGAGUGUGAGGACAUGUGGAGAUCCCUUCUCAGACUACCAAAUUUACCCUGCUAAGUGACUGAACAAGUUCUUGAUGGCCGUCUCCUGAAAUGGCAGAGGAAACCCAUUGGUACCACUAAUGAAUCAAAAGAGACAAGGUGGAAAAACUGGAAUAACCGGGGGAGGGAAUGAUUUGAUUAAUGUUCCAUCAGUGGGAAUUUGCUGCAGAAGCUCCAUACACCAGUCAUGAGCUGGCCUUAUUAAAGCCUGUUUAAAGGCAUUUGGUACAAGGAAGAUACUUUUCCAGCUCCCUUCUGCUUGAAGCCUAGCUGUCCCAAGGAGAACUGAUCAGAAAUCAGUUCUUUAGCAUAGAUGAGUGGAAAAUGAGGCCUUCUGACAUUAGGGAAAUUUUACAGGGACUGCUAGAAAAUUGUUGAUUUGUCAUUUUUGAGUUGAAUAGAGCAAUUUUGUGCGAACUCAAUUUAUGUAAUGUAUCAUGGAUGAUGUUAGCUACAUAGAAACUUGGGCGGUGUUCCUGUCCAUUGGGCCAAUGAGGGAGGAGAGCUAAUAACUUCCUUUUUGAUUGUUUGGAGUUUUUUCUACUUCCAUAUUCAUGCAAAGGAAGAUAAUACUGAAAUUUAUGAUUUGAUGCCAGGGUCCAUUUUUGUGUGGAAAAUUAAAAUUUCUCCUCUUUUAUAUUUUGUGUCAAAUUUUAUUUUUUCUGUUUGUGAGCUGAGCCUCGUACAUGUUAACCUCUAGCACAUGAUGUUACUGUUGGGACAAUAAUCUUACAUCGGUUACCCAUAAAGCCUUCCAUCGUCUCAUAUACCUGUGUGUCUUUCCACCCAAUGGUUCGAUCUAUCGGGUUAGAUAUUUACAUGGUAUCAAAAUCAGGUUUUGAUCCUGUUUCAUAUUGAUUAGAGCUUAAUUUAGUCUCUUUUUUUAGUGGACAUGUUGCUGUGGUUCUGUUGAAACGUUAAUCCAGGCCUUCUAUGAUCAAGUAGGGACUUUGUUAAAUUUGAGUUUUUUUUUUUUUUCUUGGGAAAACCAGGAAAAGUGAGUUUCUGGAAGAGGGUUAAUUCUAGUUGUAAAAAUGAAAGCAGAGACUGAUAGGCUCGACUGCUGGCAGCCCAUGAUAGAUAGUUUGUGGUCCUUGGACAGUGAGACAUCGAUAAGCUUAUCAAUCUGACUUCUACAGGCAUGGGAUGGAGCAGUGUUCUUGAACUAGCAGGGGUGCCAUUGCUGUUGACCAUUUAACAGUUCAAGCAACUCAUUUGUUGUGAGUGAAGGUCAACGGGAAUAUUAAAGCCACUGAACUUGGGCUUCAUAGGUUGAUAUCAGAAAAUAUACUCUUUGUAGGAUUCUGAUUAUGGGUGGCAUGGGGAGAGGCUUUGAGUAUCCAUAAUCCAUCCAUCAUCCAUGACGAUUGACUGAUUGAGGACCCUUACCAUGCCAUAUUUCAUCGGAUAAGGCAGGCAUAAUACAUAAAAAAAAGUAGGUGGUUUUGGAACUGGUCAACAUACAUUCCCUGACUGCAAGGUAGCCCCUAAGGCAAUCCCCAAGGUCUCUCUCUCUCUCUCUCUCUCUCAUUGUUUUAUGUAUAGGUAUCACUGCCCGUAUCGGUCACCUCUAAUACUGAGGAUAUCAAUACGUAUUAGUAUUGAUUGAUUCAAAUAAUACGAUAUCGAUAUCUUGAUCCAUGACAUUGACCAUGACGGCCAACCCACAUGAUUGACAAAGGGGAAGCCAUGGCUCCAUAAUCCAAUCCAUUAAUUUAAUCAGGGCAGGGCAUCUCUCUCUCUCUCUCUUACAUUGUCCUCUUGUCUCUUUGAACAUGGAAGGUGAAAUGUAAAUUAAAAAGGGUGACGUGAAGAACUCCAACAGCCAAACAAGAUUCUUAAACCAUUAUCACAAGAAACCUUGGUCGGCAAUUAUUUUCCUCUGAUUCCUUCUGUUUAUUAUUAAGAUUAUAAUAUGUUGUAGAGUGAAGCACUUAAACCAUAUACAGGUCAAAGGGAUUGAGUAUUUAAAAUCAGAACUUGGUAUCUGUAACAUGCCUUCCACCUUGUUUGUCCAGCACACGCGUGGCGCACAACAUGUAAGGUGGAGUCCUGUUUUGUGACUUGUGAUUGUGAUCUUCCAUUUAAUUGGGUCAUCAGGAAGUCAGAUGAUUCAUGAUUGUGAUGUUCUGAUAAUUUUUUUUUAUAAAGUUUCUUUCAAGCUGACUCUCCAAAAGGAUCAGAGGGAGGUUAAGAUUCUUAUGAUUCUAUAUAAAUAAGCUGAUAGAGAUUGUUGUUUCCUUCUUGUAAAAGAAGGAAGAUGUUCCAGAUUGAAGCUAAGGUUGCUUUCUGUUUUUUUUUUCCUAUAUAUAUAUAUUUAUUUUCCUGACGAUAAUCACCUAUUGACCAUAGCUCUAAAACUCGGAAUUGGGACCUGGAUAGGAAAACCCGGAUUUCCCAAAGAGGAUCCAUCAGUAUUUAAUUUAAAUGUGCCCCUUUCAGGCUUGAUCUAAUAUGCUUCUGAAAUUAUUUUUGGAACUGGGGUGUUGUGGGGAGGGAAUCCUUGAGCCCAACUGUUCUGAAAGCAGGAUGUCAUCCACCGAUGAAAUGGAAUGAGAUAUAAUUGAUGUGGCUUCUUUGAUGUCACGGUUGAUAUGAUCAAUAAGUGUAUUUGAAAGAAUACCUUUUCCUUUAAAUCUUCUGGAGUUGUGCUCAAGCCAGAUAUGCAUAGGAAUAAGAAUGAAGCAUGAAAGCCAAAUGCAAUUUAAUAGAACCAUUGCUGCCUUGGAUUUCCACCAAGUAAAUAAAUCUAUCAAAGAAAUAACUGACGGCCAAGAAAGCUUAUACAGGUCAAGAAAUGCUGCCAAACUUUUUUUUUUUUUUUUUAAGCAUUAAGAGUAUUCCAAGAGAAUGUGUAAAACAAAACCAAACAGAGAUUGAGAUGAUUAAUUAUGUAGUAAAUCUAAGUCAUUUAGCUUUAGAAUCAUUGUGACAGAAUCCUAUCUGCUUGUCUGUUGUUCAACUGUUCCAAGAGAAACAUUUAUCUUUGCCCUUAAUUAUGAGGCAUAUAUGCACUGGACAUGUUGCAGGGUUUUAAGAAUUAGGAAGAACCAUGUAAGUUCAACCUGGGUGGGUAGUGGGUAAAGAAUAUUAUCUGAUUAUAUUCUUAGCCUACAGAACCUCUUAGGGUAGAACAUAUGGAAUGGUGGCACUCCUAAAUCCUAGUACGAAGCACUCUCCUCAACCCAUCUGUUAUUUUUCAUUGCUAAUAACAAUUUUUGCAGAGGUCUGUAACCUGUAUUACUUUGAUCAAUUUCGUGGAUGUUGCAGAUCAAGGGAAAGUAAGAACUUUACUUUUGGCGAUAAAGGUAAAAAAGCAGAUGCAAACACUGUUGCAGUAAGGGUUGUUUGUUUCUUGGAGAUCCGAUAAUGAUAGGAACAUUAUCCAGGGAAUUGGGUUCUUCUGAGGAAUUUUACUCUUUUUUUACCCCUGUGAAAGAUGGGUGAAGGAAUUUUUUUUUUGCUAAAGGGUAGGUGAAGGAAAACCCAUGUGCAGAGAUUCCUGCUUCCACAAACUAUAGAUGUCUAUGUGCCAUGCCCCUCCUCCCUCUUUCCUCCUACUUUCCCUACUUUUUCUUUCCCCAUCGCAUCUCUCUCUCUGCUUUGUAUAAAACUCCUUUCCUAGAAAAUGGUUUGCCUUUUCAUAGUAAAAGCUGUUUCAUUCUGUGCAGCAAUGAGUCUAUCUCUCUCUCUCUCUCUCUCUCUCUGCGUUGAAUGGCCUACAUAAAGUAAGAGACACUAGUGGACUGCAGUGGACAUCAAUGAGUUCAGAAGAUCCUCUGCACUUGCUUGUUGCAGUUCACAGGAGCAGCAAAAUAGCAAUAACGAU